ACUCUAUCCAACAAAAGGGAAGUC
This 24-nucleotide non-coding RNA is filed under the name Arabidopsis thaliana (thale cress). Lineage: Eukaryota; Viridiplantae; Streptophyta; Magnoliopsida; Brassicales; Brassicaceae. The record is from RNAcentral.